GACGAACGCUGGCGGCGUGCUUAACACAUGCAAGUCGAACGGAAAGGCCCUGCUUUUGUGGGGUGCUCGAGUGGCGAACGGGUGAGUAACACGUGAGUAACCUGCCCUUGACUUUGGGAUAACUUCAGGAGACUGGGGCUGAUACCGGAUAGGAGCUCCUGCUGCAUGGUGGGGGUUGGAAAGUUUCGGCGGUUGGGGAUGGACUCGCGGCUUAUCAGCUUGUUGGUGGGGUAGUGGCUUACCAAGGCUUUGACGGGUAGCCGGCCUGAGAGGGUGACCGGCUACAUUGGGACUGAGAUACGGCCCAGACUCCUACGGGAGGCAGCAGUGGGGAAUAUUGCACAAUGGGCGGAAGCCUGAUGCAGCAACGCCGCGUGCGGGAUGACGGCCUUCGGGUUGUAAACCGCUUUCGCCUGUGACGAAGCGUGAGUGACGGUAAUGGGUAAAGAAGCACCGGCUAACUACGUG
This 468-nucleotide ribosomal RNA is filed under the name uncultured bacterium. RNAcentral's name for it is "partial 16S ribosomal RNA". It matches the Rfam family "Bacterial small subunit ribosomal RNA", at positions 28 to 507 of the family's 1533-position model. The record is from RNAcentral.